RNAcentral lists this long non-coding RNA (316 nucleotides) under Dromaius novaehollandiae (emu). Its description in RNAcentral is "lncRNA (ENSDNVG00000014332.1)". Lineage: Eukaryota; Metazoa; Chordata; Aves; Casuariiformes; Dromaiidae. The record is from RNAcentral.
GUUGACUGCUGUCCUUCGAAACCUUAUUUGUAUUUGGUGAACUUAGAGGGAAAGUCAGCUUUGUGGUGUUCGUUGUCCUUCAUGCCAAAAGAGGUGGCAGCAUAUGACUUCACUCUUCCAGUUAAUAUUCUUCACGGUGACUUUUCAUUGUCACAGCAAAGCUCUAUACCAGCAACUCCUAUUGGAUCUGUAAAGCACAUCAUUGCUCCUCGGCCACAAGCAGUGACUGUGGCAGUUCCGGUUUGUAGAGUUAAAGCAGUUGUACUUAGAUCACCACUGGAGUUCUCCUCAAUGGAACUUACAUUUUCACUACAUU